Molecule: transfer RNA, 85 nt
Filed under: Desmospora profundinema
Lineage: Bacteria; Bacillati; Bacillota; Bacilli; Caryophanales; Thermoactinomycetaceae
Also listed under: 1 other name
Description: tRNA-Tyr
Rfam family: tRNA
About the family: Transfer RNA (tRNA) molecules are approximately 80 nucleotides in length. Their secondary structure includes four short double-helical elements and three loops (D, anti-codon, and T loops).
Source: RNAcentral
GGAGGGGUAGCGAAGUGGCCAAACGCAGCAGACUGUAAAUCUGCCGGCUCUGCCUUCGUAGGUUCGAAUCCUACCCCCUCCACCA